AACAACAACAAAAGUAUAAAAUUUCUCAGUCUACUCUAAGGCAAUAUUAACAAUAAUGCAGUCAAGAGUGGGAACAAAGGACACACAUCUUACUUAUGAUGCCGUAGAGAUUGGAUUCUAAUUUGUCCUGUGAUGUUCCAGAUCUUUUAAAGUGACGUGCAUAAUAAAGUAUUUUACAUUUCUAGCUUCCAGUGAUUUUUGUGGAAGUCCUUGUCUUUACAUCAUCACAGAAGAUCCCCAAUUUUAUUUUUAUGCCUCUCUGGGGGCAAAGAACUGAAUUUCAGGAAAUGCUCUGUCUAGAAGAUACCACUCAUUUAAAAAGAAUUGAAAUCUGAAUUUGUUUUCAUAAUAAAUGUUCAGCAAUGCAGAGAAACUGCUUCUGACGAAGAAAGUAAAUAAAGACAAUAAAACACCA
This is a long non-coding RNA of Hyaena hyaena (striped hyena), 415 nucleotides long. RefSeq lists it as uncharacterized. NCBI's taxonomy places the organism in Eukaryota, Metazoa, Chordata, Mammalia, Carnivora, Hyaenidae. The record is from RefSeq and is a predicted model, not a curated record. The transcript has 2 exons.